This 305-nucleotide ribosomal RNA is filed under the name uncultured bacterium. RNAcentral describes it as "bacterial SSU rRNA". It matches the Rfam family "Bacterial small subunit ribosomal RNA", at positions 338 to 660 of the family's 1533-position model. The record is from RNAcentral.
CCUACGGGAGGCAGCAGUGGGGAAUAUUGCACAAUGGGGGGAACCCUGAUGCAGCAAUGCCGCGUGGGUGAAGAAGCACUCCGGUGCGUAAAGCCCUGUCAGCAGGGAAGAAAAUGACAGUACCUGGACAAGAAGCCCCGGCUAACUACGUGCCAGCAGCCGCGGUAAUACGUAGGGGGCAAGCGUUAUCCGGAUUUACUGGGUGUAAAGGGAGCGUAGACGGCAAUGCAAGUCCGAUGUGAAAACCCAGGGCUCAACCGUGGGAGUGCAUUGGAAACUGAAUGGCUGGAGUGCAGGAGAGGUAA